RNAcentral lists this long non-coding RNA (886 nucleotides) under Arabidopsis thaliana (thale cress). Its description in RNAcentral is "long non-coding RNA (ATHA_LNC000315)". The record is from RNAcentral. Lineage: Eukaryota; Viridiplantae; Streptophyta; Magnoliopsida; Brassicales; Brassicaceae.
UUUGUAUUUCUCUAACCUGCAGGCAAGACUCUCGCUCGUCUCCUCCAUGUCUUCUUUCAGAUAUCAAUCUGCAAAAGUUCUUUGUAAGACUUUAUAUACACUAUUAAGGUCUUUAUUAUUGUUUUAAAGAAUAAAUUAUUGUAUUUUACCUUCAUAAUUGUCACCAUUAUCUCAAGAUUUAAAAAUUACAAAGACUCGUCAAUGAAAUUACUCGGAACAAGUUAAGCUAAUUUUUUUGUUAAAAUGUGUUGGCAAACCAAAAACUAGAACUUUCACAGAACAGCGCAACAUUACACCCGAAUUCAAAGGAUUAUUAUAGACAACUUGCGAUUUUUUCCCCCUAAUUUGCUAGUAUUAAACAAGUGCAACCACUAUAAUAUGUCCCUAAUGAUAUCUGGUUAAUUUAUUUAAAUGGUAAAUUGUCUAACACGUUCCGUGAUAUGUCUCAGCCCUAAACCGGCUCUUGUUUCUACGGCCCCUGUUGUCGGCGACAGCAAUAAAGUGGAUAAAACGGUUAGUACGGCUGACCAAUGGUUAGUACGACUGACCAGUGGUUUCUCAAUUACCGGUUGAGUCAAUUAUUGGCUCUUAUAGGUUUUCUCAUAAAUGGGCUACUUUCAAAAUUAAAUUUGGGCUUGAUUUCUGGAUUUUUAAAUUUCAAUAAAAUAUCUUUUAAACUUCAGAGAAUAACAUCAUUAACUUGAUUACUGGGAAAAAAAAAUAUAAAAGGUAUUCUUCUGAACUAGUCAACUAAAGCCGGGAAAUUAAACAAUGCUUUGGAUUAUCCAUCUGUAUAGGUCUCUAACAGAUGUAUAAUAUUAUUGACAAGGCAAAGGUUUGUAAACGAGGAGAAGAUAUUUUCUAUAUGGAUAAGUUUUGAAGGAUC